CUAAUGCAGUUCACUCCUAUAUGUGUUAAAGUUGAUUUAAUGUAAGUUACUGAGAAUCUGAUUUAACGAUUGAUUUCCACAGGUAAUUUCGGGUAUACAUUGUAUAUGCUACCCUCGUCUACCAUUCUUCGGACUGAACACCUAUUCACGCUGAGCAGUGAAGGUUGUCUAUAUAGAAGCCGCCUUCUCCAACCAUCUUCCUCUGUUUGAGAAAUGAUGUUUCCAUUCGCUAUAUUGUUAGUGUUAACACUAGCUUCACAAGUCAAAUCCCAAUGCGGGCCAAGCCAGCAGUCCGUGGAGCUGUCCAUAUACAAGAAAAAAGAAAUCCAUAUCGUCAGUACAGGGGGAUUUCAAAGCAACAUGACAUGCUCCUGGAAGGUAUCAUCACCUCAUCCAUCAGCUCACAUCCUGGUGCAGCUGAAGGGAGUCUGGCUCGGGGAUGACGACUACAUUAGUAUAUAUGACGG
Long non-coding RNA from Pecten maximus, 467 nucleotides. RefSeq lists it as uncharacterized. Lineage: Eukaryota; Metazoa; Mollusca; Bivalvia; Pectinida; Pectinidae. The transcript has 4 exons. The record is from RefSeq and is a predicted model, not a curated record.